UGGCCGUAAACGAUGUGGACUUGGUGUUGGAAUGGCUCCGAGCUGCUCCAGUGCCGAAGGGAAGCUGUUAAGUCCACCGCCUGGGAAGUACGGUCGCAAGACUGAAACUUAAAGGAUUGGCGGGGGAGCACCACAACGCGUGGAGCCUGCGGUUUAAUUUGGAUUCAACGCCGGACAUCUCACCAGGGGCGGACAGCAGAAUGAUGGCCAGGUUGAUGACCUUGCUUGACAAGCUGAGAGGAGGUGCAUGGCGUGUGACUGU
This 262-nucleotide ribosomal RNA is filed under the name uncultured archaeon. RNAcentral's name for it is "partial 16S ribosomal RNA". It matches the Rfam family "Archaeal small subunit ribosomal RNA", at positions 748 to 1008 of the family's 1478-position model. The record is from RNAcentral.